AUUGAACGCUGGCGGAAUGCUUUACACAUGCAAGUCGAGCGGCAGCGCGGCCUUCGGGCUGGCGGCGAGCGGCGAACGGGUGAGUAAUGCAUCGGAACAUGCCCAGUCGUGGAGGAUAACACUUCGAAAGAAGUGCUAAUACCGCAUACGUCCUGAGGGGGAAAGCGGGGGAUCGCAAGACCUCGCGCGAUUGGAGUGGCCGAUGUCAGAUUAGCUAGUUGGUGGGGUAAAGGCCUACCAAGGCGACGAUCUGUAGCUGGUCUGAGAGGAUGAUCAGCCACACUGGGACUGAGACACGGCCCAGACUCCUACGGGAGGCAGCAGUGGGGAAUUUUGGACAAUGGGGGCAACCCUGAUCCAGCCAUUCCGCGUGAGUGAAGAAGGCCUUCGGGUUGUAAAGCUCUUUCGGCAGGAACGAAACGGUGGGCUCUAACAUAGUCCGCUAAUGACGGUACCUGAAGAAGAAGCACCGGCUAACUACGUG
This 484-nucleotide ribosomal RNA is filed under the name uncultured bacterium. RNAcentral describes it as "partial 16S ribosomal RNA". It matches the Rfam family "Bacterial small subunit ribosomal RNA", at positions 30 to 507 of the family's 1533-position model. The record is from RNAcentral.